Molecule: long non-coding RNA, 1205 nt
Filed under: Struthio camelus australis
Lineage: Eukaryota; Metazoa; Chordata; Aves; Struthioniformes; Struthionidae
Description: lncRNA (ENSSCUG00000016687.1)
Source: RNAcentral
AGACAUCCAGCAACUUUGCAAGAUGACACUCCAUGGAGCAUGUUAAGGAGCUCUAGAGAACGUAAGGGUGGCACACAGAGAACGAGGCGCGCUUCUGAACUGCUCUUGACUGCCGUGAGAUGUCCCACUGAAGCUGAUGUGUAUGUUAAAAGACUUCAAGCUGAUCACUCCUUUAAGGAAGAGAGGGCAACAAGAACUGAAGCAACUCUUAACACCUAGGACUAGUUUAAGUGGAAGGAAGACUGUGACCCAAGCAUUCGAAAUCCAUGGAACACAUCCUCAGAAACGGAAGAGUGGAAGAACCAGUGUUUUUUUCUGAAGAGCGCAGUGGUUUGUGAACGGGCCGAUAAGACAUCUGAUGAAGAGUCUGUCUGCAGAGGGAAUCCACAUUUCUGUAUCCAAGCUGGUGCGAUAAUUAAUCUUUUGUGAUUCUGACAGUUGCCUACAGAGUAGCAGAAACAAAAGCUCACACUCUGACUGUGAUUAAUGCAUCAUUAGUUGUCAGACUAAGAAUUUUGGAAGUGGGUAAGUAAGCCCUAGGCCAGACUGUUGAUUGUGUUUAAGAAAACUGCGGAGGAUUACAGUGUGGGGGGAGCUGGGAGUCAGCAUUUGUUUACCACAGGCAGUGACCAUGUUUUGUUCCUUGUCUGAAACCACUCUGUUCCCGCAACGGGAGGAGAGGAGAAGAAAUAGGCGUGUGAUUUCUGAAACAAAGCUCUGCCUCAAGCCUCUGCUAAACUGAAAAAAUGACAAAAGACCCAGCUGACCACAGUCCAUGUUGCCCUGGCUUCUGUGUGGGAUAUGUAGGAGCUGGACACUGACUGCAGUCUGCUACCCUUGUCUGGGACACCACGAUGUUGCAAAACGUCUGCUGCGGAGAAAAACAUAGCUCUUGCUGUAUAGAUUCCUGGCUAUGGAUGGCUUUAAGAGUGUGGUGCUUCUCCAGCCUGUUCCAGAAAGAAUCAAGAAGAUGGUCUGGCUUGCAGGAUUAUUUGAAAGCUGCGCAGACCUCAAAAAGGAGCUCUCUAUGUGGGACCAGGACAAUACCAGAAAGAAGGAGAGAAUCUGAGAUUCAGGUACCAUUAACGUGCUUGGCUGGGACCAUCCACUCCUCCCACAGACCAGAGGACAUGGGGAGGCCUGUUCUGCUGUCUUCCCCAAGCUGUACGAGGCCAGCUCCUGGGAGCUACUGCUGUUCCACUUGA